AAUAGGGGAUCCUCAGCUAAAUUUGAAUUUCAGGUAAAUAACUAUUUUUUAUUUAAAAGUAUGUCCAAUGCAAUAUUUGGAACAUACUUAUGAUAAAACUAAUUUGUGCUUACUUGAAAUUCAAAUCUAACUGGAUAUAGUAUAUUUU
RNAcentral lists this microRNA precursor (148 nucleotides) under Mustela putorius furo (domestic ferret). Its description in RNAcentral is "miRNA (ENSMPUG00000021880.1)". Lineage: Eukaryota; Metazoa; Chordata; Mammalia; Carnivora; Mustelidae. The record is from RNAcentral.